CCUACGGGAGGCAGCAGUGAGGAAUAUUGGUCAAUGGGUGCAAGCCUGAACCAGCCAUCCCGCGUGAAGGACGACUGCCCUAUGGGUUGUAAACUUCUUUUGUAUAGGGAUAAACCUACCCUCGUGAGGGUAGCUGAAGGUACUAUACGAAUAAGCACCGGCUAACUCCGUGCCAGCAGCCGCGGUAAUACGGAGGAUGCAAGCGUUAUCCGGAUUUAUUGGGUUUAAAGGGUGCGUAGGCGGUUGGAUAAGUCAGCGGUGAAAGUUUUCUGCUUAACAGGAAAAAUGCCGUUGAUACUGUCUGGCUAGAAUAUGGUUGCUGUGAGUGGAAUGUGUGGUGUAGCGGUGAAAUGCUUAGAUAUCACACAGAAUAUCGAUUGCGAAGGCAGCUCACAAAGCCAUUAUUGACGCUGAGGCACGAAAGUGUGGGGAUCAAACAGGAUUAGAUACCCUGGUAGUCCACACUGUAAACGAUGAUAACUCGCUGUCGGCGAUACACAGUCGGUGGCCAAGCGAAAGCGAUAAGUUAUCCACCUGGGGAGUACGACCGCAAGGUUGAAACUCAAAGGAAUUGACGG
This 578-nucleotide ribosomal RNA is filed under the name uncultured Bacteroidota bacterium. RNAcentral's name for it is "bacterial SSU rRNA". It matches the Rfam family "Bacterial small subunit ribosomal RNA", at positions 338 to 916 of the family's 1533-position model. Lineage: Bacteria; Pseudomonadati; Bacteroidota. The record is from RNAcentral.